This 497-nucleotide ribosomal RNA is filed under the name uncultured bacterium. RNAcentral's name for it is "partial 16S ribosomal RNA". It matches the Rfam family "Bacterial small subunit ribosomal RNA", at positions 28 to 507 of the family's 1533-position model. The record is from RNAcentral.
GAUGAACGCUGGCGGCGUGCCUAAUACAUGCAAGUCGAGCGAACAGAUGAGGAGCUUGCUCCUCUGACGUUAGCGGCGGACGGGUGAGUAACACGUGGAUAACCUACCUAUAAGACUGGGAUAACUUCGGGAAACCGGAGCUAAUACCGGAUAAUAUAUUGAACCGCAUGGUUCAAUAGUGAAAGACGGUUUUGCUGUCACUUAUAGAUGGAUCCGCGCCGCAUUAGCUAGUUGGUAAGGUAACGGCUUACCAAGGCAACGAUGCGUAGCCGACCUGAGAGGGUGAUCGGCCACACUGGAACUGAGACGCGGUCCAGACUCCUACGGGAGGCAGCAGUAGGGAAUCUUCCGCAAUGGGCGAAAGCCUGACGGAGCAACGCCGCGUGAGUGAUGAAGGUCUUCGGAUCGUAGAACUCUGUUAUUAGGGAAGAACAAAUGUGUAAGUAACUAUGCACGUCUUGACGGUACCUAAUCAGAAAGCCACGGCUAACUACGUG